RNA transcript from Aethalodelphis obliquidens (Pacific white-sided dolphin), 7779 nucleotides. It is a transcript of the gene named Ras suppressor protein 1, with no coding region annotated. The record is from RefSeq and is a predicted model, not a curated record. The transcript is spliced from 10 exons. Lineage: Eukaryota; Metazoa; Chordata; Mammalia; Artiodactyla; Delphinidae.
GUGCCGGGACAGGGCGUGUUCCUCGUUCGGGUGCUCGUUUUGCACAGACCGAGUGGAGUGCAUCUCUCGCCGCCGGAGUGAGCCCUGCAGAAGCCUGUUGUUCCCACGCGCAGCCUGUUAGGUGCAGCCCUCCGCAGUCAUGUCCAAGUCUCUGAAAAAGUUGGUGGAGGAGAGCCGGGAGAAGAACCAGCCGGAAGUGGACAUGAGUGACCGGGGCAUCUCCAACAUGCUGGACGUCAACGGCUUGUUCACCCUGUCCCACAUCACACAGCUGGUCCUCAGCCACAACAAGCUAACGACUGUGCCGCCAAACAUAGCAGAACUGAAGAAUUUGGAAGUGCUUAACUUUUUUAAUAACCAGAUUGAGGAGCUGCCCACGCAGAUCAGCAGCCUUCAGAAACUCAAACACCUGAACCUGGGCAUGAAUAGACUCAACACUCUGCCUCGAGGAUUUGGAUCGCUCCCAGCUCUGGAGGUCCUUGAUUUGACUUACAACAACUUGAAUGAAAAUUCUCUCCCCGGAAACUUCUUCUACCUGACCACCCUGCGCGCACUCUAUCUAAGUGACAACGAUUUUGAAAUCCUGCCGCCUGAUAUUGGGAAACUCACAAAGUUGCAGAUACUCAGCCUUAGGGAUAAUGACCUGAUCUCGCUGCCUAAGGAAAUCGGGGAGCUUACUCAGCUUAAGGAGCUCCACAUUCAGGGGAACCGUCUGACUGUUCUGCCCCCGGAACUAGGAAACUUGGAUUUAACUGGUCAGAAGCAGAUAUUCAAAGCAGAGAACAACCCCUGGGUUACCCCCAUUGCUGACCAAUUCCAGCUUGGUGUGUCCCAUGUUUUUGAAUACAUCCGCUCUGAGACGUACAAAUACAGCUGCCUUGAGUAUGCAGAAUACAAAAGAAGUGAAGUCCGCAAGUCCCCGCCCUCAGGAAAAUGGUAGGCUGUUGAAGAGGGCAGAACUGAGAAAUCCAGAAAGAUGGGAGACAAGAUAACUCCGCGCCUAAAGAGUUUGAACUUUGGAGCUGUUGCCUGGGUUUGAUCCAGACCUUUUGCUAAGCCUCAGUUCCUUCAUUUGCAAAGAUAAUAAGAUAAAUCCAACUACCUUGGCUUGUUGUGACAGUGAAUGCUGAUUGCAUGGUUACCAUAUCCACCAGGUGCCCUGAUCCAGGUGCUCUACUGGUACUUGGAAGUAACAGCCGAGAGCAGAAAUCACUUUGUAUCUUAUGAAGGACUUAAUGAUGAAAUCCCAAUAAACCCUCUAGUAUUUGGCGAAGGCGGAAAUUGGACCGGGGCGGGCGGCAGGGCAGAGAGAGCUGUGAAAGGCUGAAAGAUGUGGCUGCGAUCUGAGCUACAGAGAGGGUGGAGGCUAGGCGUUUCAGGCAGUAGCAACACAGACCAGCAAAACACAGAAACCGGAGGGAUCCUGGCUGACAGGAAAGACUAAUCCCAGGCCUUAGAUUGAUUUAGUGUUAAAAAAUUUCGCAGAUCGCCUGCAAGGUAGACGGUAUACAGAUAUGACCAUUUUCCAGUGAAGAUAACAGAGGUUCUGGAAAGCUAUGGGACUCUAAGUUUACUUAGCUAAUAGGUGGCAAAACUCCCACUCUGCCCACAUUUCCUACAGUCCACGCGGCCUUCCUCCAGACCAGCCUUUCUGCGCUCGGACGGUGAGCGAACAGAGGGAGAUGAAGGUGGGUUAGUUAGGCGUUACACGGCAUGUUCUGUGGUUACUCUCUGAUCCAGUGGGUAGCGGACGCUGUUUUCCUUGCGUAAACCGAGGAGAGAGAAUUCCGUCAGUCACGUGUAGGACGUAUUGGAGGAAGGAAGGAAUCGGUAUCAAGGAGACCAAGAAGAGGGAAUUCCCUGGCAUUCCAGUGGUUGGCACUUGGCACUGUCACUGCGGGGCCCGGUGUUCGAUCCCUGGUUGGGGAAGUGAGAUCCCGCAAUCCCCCAAGCCACACGGUGCGGCCAGAAAAAAAAAAAAAAAAAAAGACCAAGAAGGGACCUGUUAUAAUAAUCUAAUGGCCAUGUGGUAUAGGCCUAUUUUAGGGUAGAAGAAAAAGAAUGAAUAAAAUCAUAAGAUGAUGGAAAAAAGAGCAAGUACCGUAAAGCAGCUUGUUAAUCCACUGAGUCACAAACCUUUUGAGAAGCUGAUGAAAGCUGUGUUCGCCUCCUGCUGAAAAAUGCACAUACAGCUUUGCUUGGAGCUCAGAUCCUACCCUGGCCCCGAGCUGAGACUGAAGAAAGAGGCAGGUGCCAAAAAGACUUCAUCUUGUUGAUCCUGGAGGUCUGGAGACUUCAGAGGGACAGACCUGAGGAACUGGGCUAGGGAACUAUUGCAUGCAUUUGGUUGGCUAUAAUAGCGAAACGUUCCUGGUGGGAAUUAGGCAUAGCAGGGGUUGAAGAUGGUGGUGACUUGGAGGGCUCCUAUUCAGAGAUGAUCACGGAAGCUACAAAAUCAGAUGCUCUUUCUAGGGAAGAGGAUAGAGAGAGCUAAAAGCAAAACCCACAAGGGCUGCAGAAUUGUUUGGAGAAAGAAUAAGUACCAAGAUAGUGCAUUGGAGCCAAGGGAGGAGGUUUUUCAAGAAGGAAAGCCAUGGUCCCCAGUGGUCUUCAUUACUGCAGCCAUGAAGAGGUGUGAAGGUCUGCAAGAGACCCUUGGAUCCAACAGAAACAGUAAGACUCAAAUGGAUUUUUUUUCCCAAAAUGCAGAUGGCCGUAUUAAAUAAAAUGCACCUAUCAGCAGUAGAAAAGCGUACAUAUCAUACUACUCAAUAUAGUGUUUGUUGAGAAAUUCGCUCUGAUUCUGGUGGGCUGGAAUUGUUUGCUGUACCAUCUCAGGUGUCAUCAGGCAGGGUGUUGAGUUGCGUGGAGUUUCAGGGGGCCAGUGCACAGGCAGCUUGGAUAGGAUGCCUCUCAAAUGACCAGUCUGGUGACCUCUGCCGUCCGUGGCAUCAUUUCAUGAUGAUUUCUCCAGAGCUGGUCUUUGGCUGGGAUUCUGCAGAUGGCAGCUCAGGGCAGGGCCCGCGCCCACAGGGACGAGAACGAGAGCCCUUGUGAGCCGAGUGAUGGUGCCUCUUUCCUCUCCCACAGCACAGAGCAUCGGCAGGCAUCUCACCUUGGAGGAGUCCCUUCAGCAACAGAAGCCUGUUCAUCAGGCACCUGAGCGUAAUUGAUCCUGUCCUGUCACUUUAGAUAGUUCUCUGUUCAUUUUUCUGCCCUCCUCGAACAUCUCCCAGUUAUCCUCUGUAGACCUCAGAUUUCAGGGGACAGAAGAUUUUCCAAGACCCUGUGCCACAGCUUCCCUCCACAUGCUGAGUGGAUCACUUGACCCACCAGCGGCUGUGGCCUAUCAGUGACCGUGAGCCGGGUUCCUCUGUCAGUGCUCUCAAGCCGGCAUGGUCAGAUUUCAGUGCCCACCAGAAACCUCCCCGAGAAAGGAUCUCCCCACAGGCUCAUGGGGGCAAAGUCGAUCCCAGCUGUGCUCUGUGCACGCGCAGAGCCAGGGUCUGAGAAGCAGGCGGAACUGGCCAGCAUCGCCUGAGUCGCGGGCCUUCGUGAGAGGCUGAAGGAGCAGCUGCUGCCCUGGAACACUUGCUCUGAAACUCCUGCUCUGAGCCUGCGCACACAGGACCUUGUCCAUGUCUGAUUAACCUGCCUCCACAAGCCCUGCAAGGUAGCAGUGUCCAUCAUUUUGCAGAUGAGGACAUCAGACUGUGACAGAAGUUAGUCACCUUCUCCAUGUCACGUGUCCUUUGGGGCAGACAGGGUGCAGGAAUGCAGAGGCGAGUGAAGCCACAGGUCUGUUCUCCAGAAUCCCCUGUGCAGGACGCCAGGGCUCCUGUAGGGCGGGAUGGGUACAGUCUGAGCAGAGCACUGAGGGGAUGUGCUCAUCCAGAAAGCACCUCGUGCCACGGUCUGAAGGGUAGUUGGGACUCUUCCAAGGUCGAAGAGGUGGAAGGUACGUCACGAGAGGAGAGUAUGGGUGAUCACAGGGACGGAAAUCCAUCCUAAAGGCUGUGGGCUGUGUUGAUCUAUCCUGUUUUCCACUUUCUCUAUUUUAUGAUGCUUUGGCAUCUUGGGGGUCUUGCUGCCUGGGGAGACUCCCAAGCUAGCUCAUCCCUAGAGGAGCAAACAACUCAUCUGUUAGCGCAUCUUUUCGUAUCCAAGCCAACCAACCCCAAACCCCUAUCCUAACUACCUCUUUUCUCUGACUCACAUGCGCCAAGCCAGUAUUCCCCAUGACCCAGAGCCAGGUACUGGGUAACUAGAGAUCAUCUCUUUAGCCCUGGGCUCUGAAAUUUUAAUCACAUCAUUCACUUCUAAACUCACUCGUACCCUGCCUCACCCCUUCCUUUUUGUGAAACCACUAUAAAGGCUCUGGGCUUUGCUCUCUCCUGAGCGCCUCUGCCUCCUAACCAGCCCCUGUGCUUCCCCGUGUGGCCCUGCACACAGCUGCAUGUAACAAAACGCUUUCAAAGGCACAGACCUCUCCGUCUCCUCCCUGUCACCUCUAUGAAUUAAAUCCUGGGGACAUCUCAAGCAUGGGCCAUGACUCUUAGCUUCAGAGUAGGGAGAGAGCCAGUCCCUUCCUGUCUCAUUGUGGCCGAGAGGGGACAGUUGGCCUGCCCAUUUCCUCUCCCUCUAGUGGAAACAGCACCCGUUUUUCCUUGGGGACACUCCUUUGCGCCCUCUCUGCAACUUAGUUUUUAACUUUUCCUUCUUUUCAGUGAAUUAUUACCCCAGAAUUUUUUUUUUUUCCCUGCUGAAAUUAAGCAAACUCCUCACAGACAGCCCCAGAGAGGCUCACUUACUGUAUCGUUUCCCUAUUGCUACUGUUAACAAAUGACUGUGAUCGUUUUUUGUUUUUUUUUUUAACAUUUUAUAUUGGAGUAUAGCCAAUUGACAAUGUUGUGAUAACAAAUUACCAUGAUAUUAGAGGCCCAAACCAUAACCAGUGUACUAUGUUACAGUUCCGGGUGUCGAAGCCUGAAAUUUAGGCGUCAGCAGGGUUUUGCCCUUCCAGAGGCUCCAGGGGAGAACGCGUUUCCUUGCCUUCCUAGGGUCUAGAGUCUGCCUGCAUUCCUUUCUCCACGUCAAAGCCGGCAGCUGAGCCUGUUCAGAUCUCUGACUCUGGCCCUCCAGCCCCCCUCUUAAAAGGACCCUUGGGAUUACUUUGGGCCCACCCAGAUAAUCUCUCCAUCGCAAGAUCCUUAACUUAACCAGCUCUGCAAAGUCCCUUUUGCAAUAUAAGGUAACAUAGUCACAGGUUUCAGGGAUUUAGGAUGUGGACAUUUUGGGGGGCCAUUAUUCUGCCUGCUACACUUACUUAAUUGCCUGGAGGCCCCGUGGCUAAUAGCUGGUGGAACCCAAGACUGGGGACCCUGAGAUGCUUGUCCUUACUGCUCUUCCAGAGCCACGUCUCCAGGGAGGAAUGGCCGCUCUCAUGUAUCCAGUCUACAGAUGAGAGUCAAGUGCCGGCUCUCGUCCGGCCACACAGCUGGAGGAGGGAAAGCGUCCCGCAGCGCAGGGCAGAGUCAUCCCGGCUUUGCUGGUGACUCACAGAAGAAGUGGGGCAGUGCAUUUAGCUCUGCCUUAGGUGCCUUCUUCAAAGAGGAUUCGAACCUUUCUUCCAGAGAUGCUUGGGGAUUUGGCGUCGAUAAAAAAAUACCGUAUUCUUUUUCAGAGGAAAAAGCCCUAGAGAAGUAAAGUAAUCAUAUAAUUAUCUUUUUUUAAUCACUCUGACUAUAACCCCACGUCAGUCUUGUUUUUCCACAAGCCCUCGUGGGCCACGUCCAAUAGUCCUGUCCUGGUGCCAGGCUUAUUUCACCACCAUGGCCACCCUGUGAGAAAACGCAUCAUUUUUUAACAGAUGAAGAAACUGAGGCACGUUGGGGUGAGGCUUGCUAAUCAUUUGCCCAGAACGAACAGUGCGUAAAGUGGCAAAACGAGGAUUUUAAGCAUCAAGUUCAGGACUGCUAUCUCCCGUCCGGCCCUUUGUAGCGAGUGGCUUGCUGUGUAGCCCCAGGAAGGCCGGGCACGCAGUGGGGUUUGAGUCCGAAAAGGCAGGCGUUGAAACGUUGGAACAUUCCAGUUCCUUCCUGAAAAGAGGAGCCUUGCUGAGUCCCGAGCAGCUGUUGCACCGCCUUCUGAAAUGACUCUGCUGGGUUACCGCCGUCAGGGCCCCGCGACACUGCCAUCCUCUCUGGGAAGGCUUCCGUGCCUGCGUGUUCAGGAUGUGGUCCCCAGCAGGCCUGCAUCACGUCUUUCAUCUCUUCUCCCUCCUCUGACCCCUUUAUUUCUUUUGAUAUCACUUUCCCAGCACCUGAGUCUUGCCGGGUUUCCAAAUUCGUGAGCGAAGGAGUUGUGUUUCUGCAGAUUUUUGUAAUCCUUAACAUCUGAUGCUGUCUGCGAGUAAAAAUGUGAAUACUUCUUUCCUUUAUGGGGAUAAAAGUUUGGAAAAUAGAGGAGAGACACGUGAAGCUGUAAGAAAGCGGUACCAUGGGAGCAGGUACUGAGACCAUAGGUGCCCGUGUGAAUGCACAGAACAGGGUAGUCAGACCUUGGCUUCGUGCCAGGCGGGCGGAGCUUGGAGCACAUCCCACUGGAGCGCUAAGCCCCUGCUCUGGCAGAAAGCGGCAUCCUAGGAGGAGACGGGCAGACGCUAUGAGAGGAUAAGCUUGUCUCAGAGGGUGUGUUGAUAAAGGUGAGGAACGUAAGGGCCAGCUCCACUUUGGCUCAGGGUUUCCUCUCCCUGUUGGCGUAUCUGGGAGACACGCUGGAGGGGCAGGGGAAGGGGUGCACAGGUUGGAGCCUCCCACGUAAUGCAAGGUAAUCUUCCUGUCUCAGGAUCCUUAGUCUCACCUCUGCAGAGUCCCCUUUGCCCUGUAAGGUGACAAUAACAAGUUCCGGGGGUAUUAGGACAGGGACAUCAUUGGGGGUUGGAGUGGCAACAGUGGUGAAGCCGGACUGGCUGAACCUUCCUUUCUGCCUAAACCAAUGUUUCUUUCCCUGGAUCCAGGAACCCCAGGUGUCCAGGGCACAGAACCAGCCGCUCUUUUUAAAGUCUAGGGGAGGGGGUCCUGUGUUGGUUUGAAGCUCCGUUUUCCUGGGUGGCAGGUUCUCCUGGGGAGGAAGAUGUUUCUGCUCAGGGGUGCCGGGGAGGACUGGGCCUGCGUCUCCAUUCAAUUAGCCAGAAGUCCUCUAAGGGAACUUCUACAGACUUUGAACGCUGACUUGCAAGUGCUGAUACGACCCAUCUAGGACAUGUGGUACCUCCUUCACCCUCCCCUUUACCCGGAGAACGUUCCCAGCACCUGGCUGGACUUAACAUUCUUCAGCUCGUAGCUCUGUCAGCUGCCACGUCCUGCAUUCUAAACUCCUUGCGAGCAGAAACCCAUCUUCGUGACCACUGUUGGUAGAUGCUGCUUGUUACUGCUUCUGAGGAGAUGCUUGGAAGCCUCUGGAGAAGAUAGACUACGUCUGACCUGUCAAAACCCAGUGUCCAGCUUUCCCUAAGCGUCCAGUCAAUUGGACAGCUCCGAGCACCAGGUCCCUCCCUCGGCCUGUCAACCACAGCGUCGGUGUCAUCAAGAGCGUCAGUAUAUGCCCAGUGCAGGAGAGGGUGUCGAUUCCCUGCGUGGAUCCUAGAACACAGGACACCUUGUACAGGAAGCCUCUACGGCAGACACAUGCAGGCAAACCCAGAACCGCCGAAGAAAAAUAAUGACAAAUCGAAAAAGAUCAGCCGGAAACCCCUGACAGCCAAGAACAAAUAAGGGG